This is a long non-coding RNA of Meriones unguiculatus (Mongolian gerbil), 1270 nucleotides long. RefSeq lists it as uncharacterized. The transcript has 3 exons. Lineage: Eukaryota; Metazoa; Chordata; Mammalia; Rodentia; Muridae. The record is from RefSeq and is a predicted model, not a curated record.
CAUGAGAUAUCUGUUAACUUCUGGUGGAACCAGUCUUGCAAACUGAUGCUUAGAAAAUUAUGCAAUCAAGUUUCUUUUUCUUUUUUCUUUCUUUCUUUCUUUUUUUUUUUUUUUUUUUUUUUGGUUUUUUUGUUUUGUUUUGUUUUGUUUUGUUUUGUUUUGUUUUUGGCAAGGAAUUGAAUCAUUAGCCACCGUCCUGGACUUUUGCAGUACUUAUGUUUCUGGGCAUCCGACAGAGAAGGAGAACCAGGAGGUACUGCCCAUAAACUCUUGGUUCCAGAACAGGUCAAACGAGAUGUUAAUGGAAGAAAUGGGAUUUGAACCUAGACGGACGAACUGACUUCAGCACCCAAGGUCCUCCAUUUCCUACUCUACCCCAGGAGAGCACUUAAAUUCUCACUAGCAGAUUAACCUCCAAGGCAAGUUGACAGAGUAAUGGAUACGGCUUGAGAAGGGACCUUCUCCUAAAGGGAAAAUCGGAAACAUCCAGGUAAAGAAAAUGACAGCCACCCUUUAGCAACCUUAUGUACCAGAACUGCUGCUGGUGGCUCCGGCGCCUUUAUCCAGGACGAGGAAUCAAAAGAGAAGAGCAGAAAGGCAGGUGUUCUUCCGGUACGUCUGGAAAGGGUGGAGGGGCACCCUUCAACUUCAGUCUUGUCUGUUCCUAUGGCCAUGUCACCUUCUGUAACACCUAGCACAGAAUGGGUAGUCAACGAAGACUCCGCGCAUGCCAAAUGAGGGCUGGCCAGAAAUACUCCUCUACACAGGGGAAAGAGUCCGUCGGUACAUAUCUCCCUCAUGCGCAGUAAACUUACGAGGGAGUUUAUUGGCAUGUGUUCUUCGAAGCGUUCACUGGCUGUUACUACUUCACCAGGUUUUAGUGUUCCUGCCUGUUUUUAAGUGGCCUGUGUACACCUAAUUCCUUCCCUUGCCUCCCUAUUUUCUUGCUCUGCUCUUCAACAUGAACCACCAUGCUGUUUGCACCACCAAGCCCACGAACAUUUCCAUUCGAAAACAUGACUGUUGCAUGUCCCUCCCCUUCACAAUUCUUAUUUAUUUAUUUAGCCUCUUCCUUCUUCAGAUCUAUGGAAGACUCACAUUAUCCAAGACCUAUUAUUUUAUUAAAAAUAUUUUUCACAUUAUGUAUUUUUGAUCAUGUUUCCCCCUCACCCCACCCACACCAUGUCCUCUCUCUCUCUCUCUCUCCCUCUCUCUCUGUGUCAAAAAAAAGAAAGGAGGGGAGGAAUAAAUCUAUCUGGAGUUCACUGUG